GAGUUUGAUCCUGGCUCAGAAUGAACGCUGGCGGCGUGCUUUACACAUGCAAGUCGAGCGAGGCGGGCAGCUUGCUGCCCAGUCGAGCGGCGAACGGGUGAGUAACACGUGGAUACCUGCCUCUGGAUGGGGGAUAACCCGGGGAAACUCGGACUAAUACCGCAUGACAUCGAGAGAUCAAAGGGGGCCGCAAGGCUCCUGUCUGGAGAGGGGUCCGCGUCCGAUUAGCUAGUUGGUAGGGUAAUGGCCUACCAAGGCGACGAUCGGUAGCCGGCCUGAGAGGGUGAUCGGCCACACUGGAACUGAGACACGGUCCAGACUCCUACGGGAGGCAGCAGUGGGGAAUUUUGCGCAAUGGGGGGAACCCUGACGCAGCAACGCCGCGUGGAGGAUGAAGGUCCUUGGGUUGUAAACUCCUGUCAGCAGGGAAAAAGGUUUUCGGGUUAAUACCUCGGAAGCUUGAUUGUACCUGCAGAGGAA
RNAcentral lists this ribosomal RNA (480 nucleotides) under uncultured Acidobacteriota bacterium. Its description in RNAcentral is "bacterial SSU rRNA". It matches the Rfam family "Bacterial small subunit ribosomal RNA", at positions 9 to 489 of the family's 1533-position model. The record is from RNAcentral. Lineage: Bacteria; Pseudomonadati; Acidobacteriota.